AAGUCAUGAGGAGGACAUGAACGGAUCAUCUCCUUAAACCGCUCCCAAGCUUCCGCAAGUCUCUUAUCACUCUCUUGCUCAAAUGAGGAGAUCUUCCUCCUUAUGUU
This is a non-coding RNA of Beta vulgaris subsp. vulgaris (sugar beet), 107 nucleotides long. Lineage: Eukaryota; Viridiplantae; Streptophyta; Magnoliopsida; Caryophyllales; Amaranthaceae. The record is from Rfam.